This is a long non-coding RNA of Lagenorhynchus albirostris (white-beaked dolphin), 3454 nucleotides long. RefSeq lists it as uncharacterized. The record is from RefSeq and is a predicted model, not a curated record. Lineage: Eukaryota; Metazoa; Chordata; Mammalia; Artiodactyla; Delphinidae. The transcript is spliced from 2 exons.
CACCCCACUGCCCCGGCCAUGCACGUGCGCGCACACACACACACACACACCCCUGCCCCGGCCCCAUGGUCCGGGCCCCUGGGCCACCUCAAGGUGAGGAGCUGCCAAUCAUGUCCAGGGGACAUGGAGUUUCUGACUUCCCCGCAUCCACCCCCUUCACCGGCCCUUUAACAAGUCUUUACCUGCUUGCUUGUGCCCAUCUACAGGCCUCUGGCAGUUUCCAUAUGUGGCUCAGGGUCUCAGCUGGAGCCUUGGGACUCAGCACCCCCUUGCGUGGUUUAAUUCAUCAUGUGCAUGUCGUUGGUUCUGUUUCGGACACAGUGGGCCAGCAUGGACCUUGGGCUGGCAGCAAAUAUGUUUCCAUCUUCUCAGCCUCAGGCAGCGUGGCUCUGGAUGUGAGGAAGGACUGACCUCGGGACCCUCCAGGACCCAUGUACCCAGCCCACGAGGCCAGACCCCUGCCCUAACCCCUUCCCUUGCCCCAGAAGUGUAAGCGUAAAGCCAGUCAGGCAGGAGGGCACAUGGCUUCCUUUUUAUGCAUGAAAAGUCAAUUGGUACUUGAUAGAGCUAAAAUAUGAUUUCUUUUUGUAAUCUCCCACCAUAACCCCAUAAUUUGAGCCAAAUAGGAUUACUUUACUUCACCUAAUAUCCCCACUGGAAGAUUAAUGCCAUGCAUAAUUCCAGUCUCCGUCAUUUCCUAUUUCUUUUUAGUGGAAGAGAAAAGAGGUCAAAGGGGUAGGACCUUUGUCCAUAAGGGGAGGGGGCAGGGAUCAGAGGCCAGAUUGUUCUCUCAUUCUCCAAUUCAUAAGUAACUGACUUUCCCCCUGAAAUUCAGAGUCUGAUCUCCGAGGUGUAAGUUGCAUUGUAAACUCAGUAGCUUGCCGGAAAAAAAUUUUGGGGGGCUGUGAGUUCAUAGAUUAAAUAAUGAAAACAGGAUCUUCUCAGUUCAGACUGCCCUUUGUCACCAGGUCCCACCUGUCCUUCCACUUUUAGCUGAGACCUGAGAGUGACAGUAAGUAGAGAAGCACGCGGGGUCGGGGCGAGGUCCCCAAGGCUUGGCUGUGUGAAGGUGGCUGGGGGAGAGUCUUGCCUGGCCUGGAGCAGCGCCAGCCUGGGCGUCCCAUGAGCUGCUCCUGCCCUCUUCUGGCCAAGUAGUGGCUUAGCAGCGUGGGAGGGCAUUUCCCCGCCAAGGAGGGCGCCCCGUGUGCCUCAGCCAUCACCUUUGAACAGGCCAAAGCCCAUGGAGAGAGAUUUUUCUGGUGGACUUUUUUCAGAUGUCUUUGCCUGAGAAUCAAAAAUUGCUGCUGUCUACCUUUAGCAUUCCUAAUAAUUCUAUUGUUGGGGGAAUAAAUGCCUAGAAGAUUAAAAAUAUCCAGCAUAACUAUAACUUCACACAUGUUUUCUUUUAGGUCUAGGCCAUGGGACAGGAGAAGUAUAGCACAGAGAGAAGGUAAUACUUUAGGAGGAGGUGAAGGCUGUAAGGUCAGUGCGUGCCUUUGGGGAAGCUGGUUGGCUAGCCAGUGAACUCUGAAGACACGCCGUCUUGGGGAGCUGGGGCGUCCUGUAGCGCUAAGGCCCCACCCCAAGGCUCCCCCAGCAGCCCCUCCACAGCAGGCCCUACGAUUUUGGACUUGGAAUUCAUCACGUGUUCUGCAGCCCUGUGGUUGUAGGACUGCUGGGACUAACCAUGCUCAGAGGCUUGGAGUGUGAGGCCUCACAGGAAAAGAAGCUGGCUUUUCCUAGGGUCCCCAGAGACCAAGUUCGGGCUGAGCUGGAACAGAGCCAGGCAGGUGGUGGCUCAGUUCCAUCAUCUGGUGCUCACUCAGCCCAGGGGCAGACCCUGUCCCCCUGGCCAGCUGCCUCUUUUCACACACUGGGAAUGCUUGCUGGGCCCCGGCUGACAUGAGGCCAGGGGCCCAGAAUGUUGGCAGCCCCUGAGUGCCCCAAGUCAGCCUAGGGAGGCCCUGAUUUGCCUGCAGAUUCCUCUGUGUGCAGUGGAGUGUGGAAAGGCUGGUGAGUGGGGAGCCUUCUCCUUCAAGCCCUCACCUAAGGUGGCCUUCCGGGGUCUCAGGUCCACACUCCCAUGGGGGUCCACACACGUGGCAAAGUCCCCAGCGGGGAGGCCACAGCCAGAAUCCCUCUUCUGCUUCAGUGGGGAGAGUGAGGGUGGGGCCUGGUGGUGACCGGCUUCUCCUCAGCCAAGUCCGGGCCAUCGAAGGUCCGGCAAGGUGUAGGCGUGGCUUCGGGUGGCCUUAGAACUGACCCCUGAUUCUAAUGGGAGGAGGAAUCUCUCAACAGCAAUGAUUGACUGUCAGUUAGGACUUCAAAUGCCAAAAAAAGAGGAAAGAUCCUUUGCUCCUUCCUCAUUCCCUCCAGAAUGCAGGCAUGUGAUUCUCCUGCUGGGUGGUGGGUAGGAAAUUAUCUGAAACGUUCCUGGUAGAGCAGCCAGAAUCAUUAAGAAGUUGUUCUACCAGGAACCCGGUCUCCAAAGCCCCAGGCAAUAUGUUUUAAAUGAAAACACCACAGUCAGAGUGACGGCUUCGGAUAAUCAGCCACACUCCCUUCCACUUAGUCUCCUGUCAUUUCUCACACAAAUGGAGUUAGAUGUUCAGGGACUUCCACCAUCAUUGCCCAUGUUACAAAAGAAGACUUUCUAAUUUCCCCCACCCCGUUUCACCCUUUCUCACCCCAGCCGACACAGUCCCUAAUCCCAGAGGGAAAAAAAAUUUGUGGCUUUUCCUACCCAGGAGCUGGUCUUUUCCCAGCUGCUCUGCGUUGAGCAUCCUGGCUUCAGGGCGAGAGAGCUGAGUCCUUGGAGUGCAGCUGCGGGCCCCGUGGCCAUGGGAUCCAUGGGGAUUGUGCAGUUCGGUGGUCAAGAGAAAGGUCACCUGUCAGUGCUAUGGGCCCCUGUCCAAGGAGCUGGUCAGCCACACAGAAGAGCCACUUCUCCAGGCCCCAGCGCUGCUCUGAGGAGCUGCGGAGGCCCAUGGGCCGGGGAAGGCUCCUCGCUCGCUCGGCUGACUCAGGGUUCGUGGCUACCAAAGGCUUUAGCAUUUUCUCCAGUACAGCUCCUGCAAAGCUUGAUUUAUUCUCAAGAUUAAUCAGAAUCUUGUAUUCUUUUGAGUAAUUUUCUUUUUAAAAAUGAAGGAUUUUUUUUAAGUACAGCUUUUUGAUAUAAGGACUGUUGGGAAGGUCAGGCUUGUUCUUUUGUCCUCCCCCAAGUAAGAUGUGAGAGGCAGCCGUUAGUCCUGGUUCCUGAGAAAUAUGCGGCUCUUCUUGGUGGGGCUGUGGGUUGCAGAGGCGAAGGUGGGUCGGAGGUGGAGGGACCUGCGGCUGCUCUGCUGGAGCCUCUACCUCGUCUCACUGGACUCUUCAAAGAACUCAGAAAUGGAUGAAAAACAGUAAUGUCACUGGAUUCUUAUUUAGAAAUAAAAAUGAACGCUGCUGAAUCAGA